Molecule: ribosomal RNA, 1215 nt
Filed under: Triticum aestivum (bread wheat)
Lineage: Eukaryota; Viridiplantae; Streptophyta; Magnoliopsida; Poales; Poaceae
Description: partial small subunit ribosomal RNA
Source: RNAcentral
AUGGCUCGCCGCGGCGGUUUCUUCGGGUAUGACCCGUAUGACUACUACUACCCGACCUCCUACGGCUACGACGCCUACCCGUACUAUAGCCCCGCCGCUGCCGAUCCCUUCUUCAUGGACGCCGAGCCUCUCGUCACGGAGCGGCUGCGCCCCGCCCGCCGGAGGGCCCCGGCGCGGCACGACGGCGGCUUCUUCCCUGGCUUCGGCGCCGCCGAGCCGGCCGCGCGGACCAUGGAGCGUCCCAGGCCCAGCAGCGGGUCCCCGAAGAGCAGCCCGGACUGCUUUGAGGUGGAGGUCACGGGGCCCGAGCCCGACUCGCCGCCUGCGGUGCCGAGGAACCCGGCGCCGUCGGCGGAGGAGGCCGCGGUGAGGGUGCAGGCGGCGGCGCGUGGGCUGCUUGCUCGCCGCAUGGUGCGGGAGGUGCGCGCGGUGGAGCGGCAGGCGGAGGCCGUGGCCGCGAGGUUGUCGGCCGAGGCGGAGGCGCUGCGCGCGGACGCCCGUGCGCGGAUCGGCCUCGGGGAGGAGCUCAUGCGGCUGCUGCUGCGUCUCGACGGCGUGCACGGCGCCCGGGAGUACCGCAGGAGGGUCACUCGGCGUGUGCUCGCGCUCCAGGACGCCGUUGACGCGCUAGAGGCCAUGUCGGCGGUGGUGACCGCCAAUGCGCCGGAAGUUCAGGAUGCAGCGGACGAAGCAGAGGAUGGGAUAGAAUCAGAGUUGGAGCUGCUGGUUGAGGACAACACUGUGGUGGAUUCUCCGGGUGCCGAGACAACCGACAUGGCGGCGAUGGAGGUUGACGCGGCGAGUCCCGUCGUCGUCGACGAGGACAACCAGACUGAGACCAAACUGGUGGCGGAAGUGGAGAAGGCCUCAGAGGCGGAGGGCGAGUGGGAGAUGGUGGCCACGGGGGACGGCGACGUCUCCACCGGCGAGGAGGACCAUGCACCACCCAAGGCAUUGCAGCAGCAAGAACCAGCAGGAGAGGAGAAGAAGACUGUGACCACCGACGGGUUGGACGCGAAGAAAUUCAUGGAGAUGGUGGCGGCGUUGUGCGAGCGGAGCGCGCAGCAGUGCGCUCUGAUCGGGGCCCUGGCCGAGCGGGUCGACACGCUGGAACACGCCGUCCGGCGGGUGGAGGAGGCCGACCGGCGCCGCCGGAGGAACAAGAAGACCAAAAAGGACAGCAAGAAGAACACAAAUAGCUUCUACAGCGACUAG